UGAUAGCUCAGCCAGUAGAGCAUGAGACUCUUAAUCUUAGGGUCAUGGCUUUGAGCCCCAUGUUUGGCAAAA
RNAcentral lists this transfer RNA (72 nucleotides) under Podarcis lilfordi (Lilford's wall lizard). Its description in RNAcentral is "tRNA.Lys". The stretch from base 4 to 61 matches the Rfam family "tRNA", at positions 8 to 63 of the family's 71-position model. From Rfam's summary of the family: Transfer RNA (tRNA) molecules are approximately 80 nucleotides in length. Their secondary structure includes four short double-helical elements and three loops (D, anti-codon, and T loops). Lineage: Eukaryota; Metazoa; Chordata; Lepidosauria; Squamata; Lacertidae. The record is from RNAcentral.